GACGAACGCUGGCGGCGUGCCUAACACAUGCAAGUCGUGCGGAAAGGCCUCUUCGGAGGUACUCGAGCGGCGAACGGGUGAGUAACACGUGAGUAACCUGCCUCUGGCUCUGGGAUAACCCUCGGAAACGGGGGCUAAUACUGGAUAUGACACCUGUCCGCAUGGGCUGGGUGUGGAAAGCCUUUGGGCGGCCAGAGAUGGGCUCGCGGCCUAUCAGCUUGUUGGUGGGGUAACGGCCUACCAAGGCGAUGACGGGUAGCCGGCCUGAGAGGGCGACCGGCCACACUGGGACUGAGACACGGCCCAGACUCCUACGGGAGGCAGCAGUGGGGAAUAUUGCGCAAUGGGCGAAAGCCUGACGCAGCGACGCCGCGUGAGGGAUGAAGGCCUUCGGGUUGUAAACCUCUUUCACCAUCGACGAAGCCUUUCGGGGUGACGGUAGGUGGGGAAGAAGCACCGGCUAACUAC
RNAcentral lists this ribosomal RNA (468 nucleotides) under uncultured Actinomycetes bacterium. Its description in RNAcentral is "bacterial SSU rRNA". It matches the Rfam family "Bacterial small subunit ribosomal RNA", at positions 28 to 504 of the family's 1533-position model. The record is from RNAcentral. Lineage: Bacteria; Bacillati; Actinomycetota; Actinomycetes.